CGGGUCUAAUACUGGAUACUACCUCUCAUCGCAUGGUGGGGGGUGGAAAGGGUUUUACUGGUUUUGGAUGGGCUCACGGCCUAUCAGCUUGUUGGUGGGGUAAUGGCUCACCAAGGCGACGACGGGUAGCCGGCCUGAGAGGGUGACCGGCCACACUGGGACUGAGACACGGCCCAGACUCCUACGGGAGGCAGCAGUGGGGAAUAUUGCACAAUGGGCGAAAGCCUGAUGCAGCGACGCCGCGUGAGGGAUGACGGCCUUCGGGUUGUAAACCUCUUUCAGUAGGGAAGAAGCGCAAGUGACGGUACCUGCAGAAGAAGCGCCGGCUAACUACGUGCCAGCAGCCGCGGUAAUACGUAGGGCGCAAGCGUUGUCCGGAAUUAUUGGGCGUAAAGAGCUCGUAGGCGGUUUGUCGCGUCUGCUGUGAAAGCCCGGGGCUCAACCCCGGGUCUGCAGUGGGUACGGGCAGACUAGAGUGCAGUAGGGGAGACUGGAAUUCCUGGUGUAGCGGUGAAAUGCGCAGAUAUCAGGAGGAACACCGAUGGC
This 546-nucleotide ribosomal RNA is filed under the name Kocuria sp. RNAcentral's name for it is "bacterial SSU rRNA". It matches the Rfam family "Bacterial small subunit ribosomal RNA", at positions 158 to 716 of the family's 1533-position model. Lineage: Bacteria; Bacillati; Actinomycetota; Actinomycetes; Micrococcales; Micrococcaceae. The record is from RNAcentral.